RNAcentral lists this microRNA precursor (152 nucleotides) under Picea abies (Norway spruce). Its description in RNAcentral is "miR3710e stem-loop (pab-MIR3710e, pab-MIR3710f)". Lineage: Eukaryota; Viridiplantae; Streptophyta; Pinopsida; Pinales; Pinaceae. The record is from miRBase by way of RNAcentral.
UCUGCAGACGCUCCCACACUCGGUUGGGAAUCUGACGGGCCUCCAACGUCUUAACUUGUCCUGGUGCUCCGCUCUGCAAACUCUCCCAAACUCUGUUGGGAACCUGAGGGGCCUCCAAAGUCUUGACUUGGGUGGGUGUUCCACUCUGCAGA